RNAcentral lists this ribosomal RNA (646 nucleotides) under uncultured Actinomycetes bacterium. RNAcentral describes it as "bacterial SSU rRNA". It matches the Rfam family "Bacterial small subunit ribosomal RNA", at positions 232 to 885 of the family's 1533-position model. Lineage: Bacteria; Bacillati; Actinomycetota; Actinomycetes. The record is from RNAcentral.
CGCGGCCUAUCAGCUUGUUGGUGGGGUAAUGGCCUACCCAAGGCGGCGACGGGUAGCCGGCCUGAGAGGGUGGACGGCCACAUUGGGACUGAGAUACGGCCCAGACUCCUACGGGAGGCAGCAGUGGGGAAUAUUGCACAAUGGGCGCAAGCCUGAUGCAGCGACGCCGCGUGGGGGAUGACGGCCUUCGGGUUGUAAACUCCUUUCGCUAGGGACGAAGCUUUUUGUGACGGUACCUAGAUAAGAAGCACCGGCUAACUACGUGCCAGCAGCCGCGGUAAUACGUAGGGUGCGAGCGUUGUCCGGAAUUACUGGGCGUAAAGGGCUCGUAGGUGGUUUGUCGCGUCGUCUGUGAAAUUCCGGGGCUUAACUCCGGGCGUGCAGGCGAUACGGGCAUAACUUGAGUACUGUAGGGGUAACUGGAAUUCCUGGUGUAGCGGUGAAAUGCGCAGAUAUCAGGAGGAACACCGAUGGCGAAGGCAGGUUACUGGGCAGUUACUGACGCUGAGGAGCGAAAGCAUGGGUAGCGAACAGGAUUAGAUACCCUGGUAGUCCAUGCCGUAAACGGUGGGCGCUAGGUGUGAGGGUCUUUUCACGACUUUCGUGCCGUAGCUAACGCAUUAAGCGCCCCGCCUGGGGAGUACGG